UACGAAGGGUGCAAGCGUUACUCGGAAUUACUGGGCGUAAAGCGUGCGUAGGUGGUUUGUUAAGUCUGUUGUGAAAGCCCCGGGCUUAACCUGGGAAUGGCAUUUGGGACUGCAAGGCUUGAGUGCGGCAGAGGAGACUGGAAUUCCUGGUGUAGCAGUGAAAUGCGUAGAUAUCAGGAGGAAUACCGAUGGCGAAGGCAGGUCUCUGGGCUGACACUGACGCUCAUGCACGAAAGCGUGGGGAGCAAACAGG
RNAcentral lists this ribosomal RNA (253 nucleotides) under uncultured bacterium. RNAcentral's name for it is "partial 16S ribosomal RNA". It matches the Rfam family "Bacterial small subunit ribosomal RNA", at positions 524 to 776 of the family's 1533-position model. The record is from RNAcentral.